UGGGGAAUAUUGGACAAUGGGCGAAAGCCUGAUCCAGCCAUGCCGCGUGUGUGAAGAAGGUCUUCGGAUUGUAAAGCACUUUAAGUUGGGAGGAAGGGCAUUAACCUAAUACGUUAGUGUUUUGACGUUACCGACAGAAUAAGCACCGGCUAACUCUGUGCCAGCAGCCGCGGUAAUACAGAGGGGGCAAGCGUUAAUCGGAAUUACUGGGCGUAAAGCGCGCGUAGGUGGUUUGUUAAGUUGGAUGUGAAAUCCCCGGGCUCAACCUGGGAACUGCAUUCAAAACUGACUGACUAGAGUAUGGUAGAGGGUGGUGGAAUUUCCUGUGUAGCGGUGAAAUGCGUAGAUAUAGGAAGGAACACCAGUGGCGAAGGCGACCACCUGGACUAAUACUGACACUUAGGUGCGAAAGCGUGGGGAGCAAACA
Molecule: ribosomal RNA, 427 nt
Filed under: uncultured bacterium
Lineage: Bacteria
Description: partial 16S ribosomal RNA
Rfam family: Bacterial small subunit ribosomal RNA
Source: RNAcentral